This 27-nucleotide non-coding RNA is filed under the name Rattus norvegicus (Norway rat). Lineage: Eukaryota; Metazoa; Chordata; Mammalia; Rodentia; Muridae. The record is from RNAcentral.
UUUGAAGUCUUUUCUACUCAUCAGAAA